This 359-nucleotide ribosomal RNA is filed under the name Acanthurus bariene (black-spot surgeonfish). RNAcentral's name for it is "partial 12S ribosomal RNA". It matches the Rfam family "Bacterial small subunit ribosomal RNA", at positions 1019 to 1527 of the family's 1533-position model. The record is from RNAcentral. Lineage: Eukaryota; Metazoa; Chordata; Actinopteri; Acanthuriformes; Acanthuridae.
CCCUUCCUUGUUCUUCCCGCCUAUAUACCACCGUCGUCAGCUUACCCUGUGAAGGAUUAACAGUAAGCAAAACUGGCAAAGCCCAAAACGUCAGGUCGAGGUGUAGCGUAUGGAAGGGAAAGAAAUGGGCUACAUUCACUAAUUCAGUGCACACGAAUGACACCCUGAAACACGUGUCUGAAGGAGGAUUUAGCAGUAAGCAGAAAAUAGAGUGUUCUGCUGAAACUGGCCCUGAAGCGCGCACACACCGCCCGUCACUCUCCCCGAGCUAAGAUUCUCGAGUAAGUAAACACCUAUAACUGCAAAGGGGAGGCAAGUCGUAACAUGGUAAGUGUACCGGAAGGUGCACUUGGAAAAAC